RNAcentral lists this long non-coding RNA (172 nucleotides) under Monodelphis domestica (gray short-tailed opossum). RNAcentral's name for it is "lncRNA (ENSMODG00000037023.1)". Lineage: Eukaryota; Metazoa; Chordata; Mammalia; Didelphimorphia; Didelphidae. The record is from RNAcentral.
CUCUUCAAUAGAAUACCUCUUCAAAUAUUUGAUCCCAGAGUUUUGCAGGCUUCUUCCCUCCCGAUCUGUCUGCCAUUUUUCUCUGAGGGCUGCUUUCAGAAGUCAGACUUCCCUGUAAAGGAGAGACUGGGCUGUUAUUGCUUCUUAAUCCUUCCCGGGAAAACUUAGAAGU